This 515-nucleotide long non-coding RNA is filed under the name Prunus dulcis (almond). RNAcentral's name for it is "sRNA ncRNA". Lineage: Eukaryota; Viridiplantae; Streptophyta; Magnoliopsida; Rosales; Rosaceae. The record is from RNAcentral.
UUUUUUUUUUUUUUUCUCUUUUGGAAUUGCAGUGAAUUUCUCGGCAGCCAAACAGAAAUUAAAAAAAAAAGACAGAAAAUUGAUGGUGAGAAGUUGGGGCAGCGAGAAGUGGAGGGCAUGAAGAUGAAGGAAGCGAGAGAGAAGCUGAAGGAGGCGAUUCGGAAGAUGAGGAUGAGGUAGUUGAAGCGCCUGAGCCUCCGUAGUGAGACAAUGGAAUGGAAGGGAUGGUUUGGGAUCAGGUACGGCGUCGGGAGAGGGAGAGAUAUAAAAUAAGGAAGAGAGAAUGGGUCGGGAGAGGCUGAAAGAAAGAAAAGAAAAAAAAAACAUGAAGGGGAAUUUUGUAGAAGAUGACUUUGAAGAACAUGAAGAAAUGAGUUUGAAGUUGAAGCAAACGAGUUUGAGGAAGAAGACGACGUCGACCGAUAGGCUGUCUCGCGCACGUGAAAUCAUUUCACUUGUUGACCUUAGGAGCAGGUUUCUCAUGUUUUUAAAAAAAGGCACAUGACUGCCAUGUG